CUCUCGGCAACGGAUAUCUCGGCUCUCGCAUCGAUGAAGAACGUAGCGAAAUGCGAUACUUGGUGUGAAUUGCAGAAUCCCGUGAACCAUCGAGUUUUUGAACGCAAGUUGCGCCCGAAGCCUUCUGGCCAGGGCACGUCUGCCUGGGCGUCACG
RNAcentral lists this ribosomal RNA (155 nucleotides) under Ouret lanata. RNAcentral describes it as "5.8S ribosomal RNA". It matches the Rfam family "5.8S ribosomal RNA". From Rfam's summary of the family: 5.8S ribosomal RNA (5.8S rRNA) is a component of the large subunit of the eukaryotic ribosome. It is transcribed by RNA polymerase I as part of the 45S precursor that also contains 18S and 28S rRNA. Lineage: Eukaryota; Viridiplantae; Streptophyta; Magnoliopsida; Caryophyllales; Amaranthaceae. The record is from RNAcentral. RNAcentral also lists the same sequence under 9 other names.